GACGAACGCUGGCGGCGUGCCUAACACAUGCAAGUCGAACGGAAAGGCCCUGCUUUUUUGGGCUGCUCGAGUGGCGAACGGGUGAGUAACACGUGAGUAACCUGCCCUUGACUUUGGGAUAACUUCAGGAAACUGGGUCUAAUACCGGAUAGGAUCUCCUGCUGCAUGGUGGGGGUUGGAUAGUUUCGGCGGUUGGGGAUGGACUCGCGGCUUAUCAGCUUGUUGGUGGGGUAGUGGCUUACCAAGGCUUUGACGGGUAGCAGGCCUGAGAGGGUGACCGGACACAUUGGGACUGAGAUAAGGCACAGACUACUACGGGAGGCAGCAGUGGGGAAUAGUACACAAUGGGCGGAAGCCUGAUGCAGCCACGCCGCGUGCGGGAUGACGGCCUGCGGGUUGUAAACCGCUUUCGCCUGUGACGAAGCGUGAGUGACGGUAAUGGGUAAAGAAGCACCGGCUAACUACGUG
This 468-nucleotide ribosomal RNA is filed under the name uncultured bacterium. RNAcentral's name for it is "partial 16S ribosomal RNA". It matches the Rfam family "Bacterial small subunit ribosomal RNA", at positions 28 to 507 of the family's 1533-position model. The record is from RNAcentral.